Lucilia cuprina (Australian sheep blowfly) is the source of this 837-nucleotide long non-coding RNA. RefSeq lists it as uncharacterized. The record is from RefSeq and is a predicted model, not a curated record. The transcript is spliced from 3 exons. NCBI's taxonomy places the organism in Eukaryota, Metazoa, Arthropoda, Insecta, Diptera, Calliphoridae.
UUUUCGUAAAACUGUUUGUGAAUAAAAGUGUUUAACAAAAUAAAAUCACGAAUUUAACGAAAAGUUGAUAUUAUUGAAUAAUAUCAAAAAAAAAAAAAAAUAAUAAUAAAUAUAGAAGGUUUUAUGGUUGCCAUAAGAAAUACAUAAAAUUCUUAUUAAUUUAAGUUUAUUUAAAUAUAUAUUUAUAACGCCAAUAUUUCUCCAAAUUCUCAUUAGGAUGAUCCAACCAAAAUAUGUUUAGAAAUAAAAAAGUUUCAGAGUUAUAACUCGCUAGGUUUCCGGCUCUAUUUUGAAAGAUAACCAUAAUUUAAAUAAGGCUUAUAAUAAAGUUUGGCUCUAAUCGAACAAAAUUUAGAGACCUUCAUCAAUGACCCACUGGUGCAUGUUACCUUAAUGAAAGAUUCCAUCUUGGUACCUCUAUACUGCUCGAACUAUAAGCUGAUGAUGGUCAAAUGUAUCCUCAGUCUUUCAUUGCAAUGAUUUGACAUAAAGUCGAACCAAAGAACCACAUAAUCUGGUACCACGAACAUAGUCUUGCCUUGGUUAUUGGAGAGGUCCUUUCUGGUGCACGUCAUGGCGUCGGUUUAAACCCAUAUUGACGGGAAGAGAAAAAAUCUCUAGAAGUCUUGACAUUGAAAAAAUUAAUGUGGAAAUUUAUAAUAAAAAAUUCGAAAAAUCGUUCAAAUAAUUAAAACACUUGAUAAAUAAGUAAUAAACUAAAGUAUGUGGAUACUUGCAUGUGACACUCCUUAAGAUCAAUAAUAUACAUAACUGGAACAUAAUUUAAGUCUUCAAAUAUUUAUGUAUGUAAAUGAUGACUAUUAUGAAUAUUUUUAU